Molecule: ribosomal RNA, 922 nt
Filed under: Campylobacter jejuni
Lineage: Bacteria; Pseudomonadati; Campylobacterota; Epsilonproteobacteria; Campylobacterales; Campylobacteraceae
Description: partial 23S ribosomal RNA
Rfam family: Bacterial large subunit ribosomal RNA
Source: RNAcentral
AAAGGUAAGCUACUAAGAGCGAAUGGUGGAUGCCUUGACUGGUAAAGGCGAUGAAGGACGUACUAGACUGCGAUAAGCUACGGGGAGCUGUCAAGAAGCUUUGAUCCGUAGAUUUCCGAAUGGGGCAACCCAAUGUAUAGAGAUAUACAUUACCUAUAUAGGAGCGAACGAGGGGAAUUGAAACAUCUUAGUACCCUCAGGAAAAGAAAUCAAUAGAGAUUGCGUCAGUAGCGGCGAGCGAAAGCGCAAGAGGGCAAACCCAGUGCUUGCACUGGGGGUUGUAGGACUGCAAUGUGCAAGAGGUAAGUUUAGCAGAACAUUCUGGAAAGUAUAACCAUAGAGGGUGAUAGUCCCGUAUGCGAAAAACAAACCUUAGCUAGCAGUAUCCUGAGUAGGGCGGGACACGAGGAAUCCUGUCUGAAUCCGGGUCGACCACGAUCCAACCCUAAAUACUAAUACCAGAUCGAUAGUGCACAAGUACCGUGAGGGAAAGGUGAAAAGAACUGAGGUGAUCAGAGUGAAAUAGAACCUGAAACCAUUUGCUUACAAUCAUUCAGAGCCCUAUGUAGCAAUACAGGGUGAUGGACUGCCUUUUGCAUAAUGAGCCUGCGAGUUGUGGUGUCUGGCAAGGUUAAGCAAACGCGAAGCCGUAGCGAAAGCGAGUCUGAAUAGGGCGCUUAGUCAGAUGCUGCAGACCCGAAACGAAGUGAUCUAUCCAUGAGCAAGUUGAAGCUAGUGUAAGAACUAGUGGAGGACUGAACCCAUAGGCGUUGAAAAGCCCCGGGAUGACUUGUGGAUAGGGGUGAAAGGCCAAUCAAACUUCGUGAUAGCUGGUUCUCUCCGAAAUAUAUUUAGGUAUAGCGUUGUGUCGUAAUAUAAGGGGGUAGAGCACUGAAUGGGCUAGGGCAUACACCAAUGUACC